Molecule: long non-coding RNA, 235 nt
Filed under: Vigna radiata
Lineage: Eukaryota; Viridiplantae; Streptophyta; Magnoliopsida; Fabales; Fabaceae
Description: long non-coding RNA (VRAD_LNC018108)
Source: RNAcentral
UCUUCUUCACCUACUUCGCGUCUCAACAAAAACCAAAAUUCUCUCAACAACCGCAAGCAUCCAUGGCCACAAACUACAAACCAGAAACAUAGUGCCACCCAAAAUAGAACCUAUCGAUAACCUUGCUAAAUCCACCAUCUUCUUCGAGCGAAACCAGAAAACAUGAAACUGCUUUCUCCAUCAAGCCUCGCACACACCAUAUGCAAAGAGAAAGAAACAAAAAGUCCUAAAAAUA